GCCUGUUUUGAGUUCUUUUUAAGUCCAAAAAUCUGACUUUUCUUCUUCUUCUUCAAUCGUUUCCCAAUUUCCUCCUAAUUUGGUUUCCCCCUUGAGGUUAAAACUCCUCUUCUAUUCGAACUCUUCUCUGUUCUUCGUAAAAGGGAUUUUCCUCAAGUUCUUCUCCCCUCCACUUCUUCAAUUCUGACGAGGUUAAGGGACUUCAACCUAGGGUUCGAACCAGAAUUCAAGUUCGAGCUCUUAACCGUGGCCGAAUUCAUCCACCUUUGAUUCCAGGGUUCGAAAUUUGUUUCUUAGGAGUUUAGAAAUUGCUCAAGCUUCACCUCUUUGAUCGAGGUAAACCCAUGCCUCAUGUCUCAAAAAAAUUAGUCAUGUCUCCAAAGAGGUUACGUGUCCCGAGGGGUCGUUCGGCGACUCAAUCGCCUGAGCCAGCACCUUUUACUUGCAUAGGUAAUUCGGAGUACCAGAGAGUCGUAGGAUGACGGAGUUCUUGUAUAAUCACCAUCACAUGAGAUUUAUUAGAGGCACCACCGUAGUUUUAUAUUUU
Molecule: long non-coding RNA, 547 nt
Organism: Asparagus officinalis (garden asparagus)
Lineage: Eukaryota; Viridiplantae; Streptophyta; Magnoliopsida; Asparagales; Asparagaceae
Exons: 4
Source: RefSeq, a predicted model, not a curated record